Non-coding RNA from Gossypium arboreum, 107 nucleotides. NCBI's taxonomy places the organism in Eukaryota, Viridiplantae, Streptophyta, Magnoliopsida, Malvales, Malvaceae. The record is from Rfam.
AAUCCAAGCAUAGGAUGUUUCCUAAGCAAAUCUUUGAACCUUUCCAAUGCUUUAUAUAGUGUUUCAUCCUCUAGUUGCUUAAAGGAUGUUAUGUCAUUUCUCAGUUU